AAGUCGUAACAAGGUCUCCGUUGGUGAACCAGCGGAGGGAUCAUUACAAGAGCGCCGAAAGGCUGCUUAAAACCAUCGUGAACCUAUCCAUCAGCGUUGCUUCGGCGGGAGCGCUCGCGGGGCCGGAGUCUCUCCGGGCCCCGGGCCGUGGAACCACACCUCCGGGUGCGGGGCCGCCCGCCGGAGGUACGAAACUCUUCUGCAUCUUAGUGGCAUCUCUGAGUAAACAAGCAAAUAAUCAAAACUUUCAACAACGGAUCUCUUGGUUCUG
Molecule: unclassified non-coding RNA, 271 nt
Filed under: fungal sp.
Lineage: Eukaryota; Fungi
Description: partial internal transcribed spacer region
Rfam family: Eukaryotic small subunit ribosomal RNA (bases 1-46)
Source: RNAcentral